This 440-nucleotide ribosomal RNA is filed under the name uncultured bacterium. Its description in RNAcentral is "partial 16S ribosomal RNA". It matches the Rfam family "Bacterial small subunit ribosomal RNA", at positions 338 to 795 of the family's 1533-position model. The record is from RNAcentral.
CCUACGGGGGGCAGCAGUGGGGAAUAUUGGACAAUGGGGGGAACCCUGAUCCAGCGACGCCGCGUGAGUGAAGAAGUAUUUCGGUAUGUAAAGCUCUAUCAGCAGGGAAGAAAAUGACGGUACCUGACUAAGAAUCCCCGGCUAACUACGUGCCAGCAGCCGCGGUAAUACGUAGGGGGCAAGCGUUAUCCGGAUUUACUGGGUGUAAAGGGAGCGUAGACGGUUAUGUAAGUCUGGAGUGAAAGCCCGGGGCACAACCCCGGGACUGCUUUGGAAACUGUGUAACUGGAGUACAGGAGGGGCAGGCGGAAUUCCUGGUGUAGCGGUGAAAUGCGUAGAUAUCAGGAGGAACACCGGGGGCGAAGGCGGCCUGCUGGACUGAAACUGACGUUGAGGCUCGAAAGCGUGGGGAGCAAACAGGAUUAGAUACCCGAGUAGUC